This 493-nucleotide ribosomal RNA is filed under the name uncultured bacterium. Its description in RNAcentral is "partial 16S ribosomal RNA". It matches the Rfam family "Bacterial small subunit ribosomal RNA", at positions 28 to 507 of the family's 1533-position model. The record is from RNAcentral.
GACGAACGCUGGCGGCGUGCUUAACACAUGCAAGUCGAACGGUGAAGGGACCGGUUUUUGCUGGUUCUGGAUGAGUGGCGCACGGGUGAGUAACACGUGAGUAACCUGCCCCCUUCUUCUGGAUAACCGCAUGAAAGUGUGGCUAAUACGGGAUAUUCUGCGCCUGCUGCAUGGUGGGUGUGGGAAAGAUAUUGUUUCGGUGGGGGAUGGGCUCGCGGCCUAUCAGCUUGUUGGUGGGGUGAUGGCCUACCAAGGCGGUGACGGGUAGCCGGCCUGAGAGGGUGGACGGUCACACUGGGACUGAGACACGGCCCAGACUCCUACGGGAGGCAGCAGUGGGGAAUAUUGCACAAUGGGCGCAAGCCUGAUGCAGCGACGCCGCGUGAGGGAUGGAGGCCUUCGGGUUGUAAACCUCUUUCGCCAGUGAAGCAGGCCUGUCCCUUUUGUGGGUGGGUUGACGGUAGCUGGAGAAGAAGCGCCGGCUAACUACGUG